CGAAGGGUGCAAGCGUUAAUCGGAAUUACUGGGCGUAAAGCGUGCGUAGGUGGUUUCUUAAGUCUGCUGUGAAAGCCCUGGGCUCAACCUGGGAAUGGCGGUGGAUACUGAGAAGCUAGAGUGCGGUAGAGGAGGGUGGAAUUCCCGGUGUAGCGGUGAAAUGCGUAGAGAUCGGGAGGAACAUCAGUGGCGAAGGCGGCCCUCUGGACCAGCACUGACGCUGAGGCACGAAAGCGUGGGGAGCAAACAGGAUUAGAUACCCUGGUAGUCCACGCCCUAAACGAUGCGGACUGGACGUUGGGCACAAUUCGGUGCUCAGUGUCGAAGCUAACGCGUUAAGUCCGCCGCCUGGGGAGUACGCUCGCAAGAGUG
This 372-nucleotide ribosomal RNA is filed under the name uncultured organism. RNAcentral's name for it is "bacterial SSU rRNA". It matches the Rfam family "Bacterial small subunit ribosomal RNA", at positions 526 to 896 of the family's 1533-position model. The record is from RNAcentral.